Molecule: ribosomal RNA, 119 nt
Filed under: Gonapodya prolifera JEL478
Lineage: Eukaryota; Fungi; Monoblepharomycota; Monoblepharidomycetes; Monoblepharidales; Gonapodyaceae
Source: RNAcentral
AGUAUCGGUCAUAUGCGAGGGAAAGUGCCGCUUCCCGUCCGAUCAGCGAAGCGAAGCCCGCGACGGCCCAAUCAGGACUAGCGUGACAGAUAAGCUUGGGAAACUGGGUGAUGCAGUUU